Molecule: ribosomal RNA, 503 nt
Filed under: uncultured bacterium
Lineage: Bacteria
Description: bacterial SSU rRNA
Rfam family: Bacterial small subunit ribosomal RNA
Source: RNAcentral
GACGAACGCUGGCGGCGUGCCUAAUACAUGCAAGUCGAGCGAGACUCUUCGGAGUCUAGCGGCGGACGGGUGAGUAACACGUGGGCAACCUGCCUGUAAGACUGGGAUAACACCGGGAAACCGGUGCUAAUACCGGAUAAUCCUUUUCCUCUCAUGAGGAAAAGCUGAAAGUCGGUUUCGGCUGACACUUACAGAUGGGCCCGCGGCGCAUUAGCUAGUUGGUGAGGUAACGGCUCACCAAGGCGACGAUGCGUAGCCGACCUGAGAGGGUGAUCGGCCACACUGGGACUGAGACACGGCCCAGACUCCUACGGGAGGCAGCAGUAGGGAAUCUUCCACAAUGGACGAAAGUCUGAUGGAGCAACGCCGCGUGAGCGAUGAAGGCCUUCGGGUCGUAAAGCUCUGUUGUUAGGGAAGAACAAGUACCGGAGUAACUGCCGGUACCUUGACGGUACCUAACCAGAAAGCCACGGCUAACUACGUGCCAGCAGCCGCAGUAACAC